Molecule: long non-coding RNA, 375 nt
Filed under: Homo sapiens (human)
Lineage: Eukaryota; Metazoa; Chordata; Mammalia; Primates; Hominidae
Description: HSALNT0334294
Source: RNAcentral
GUCCUAAGAUGGGGCAGGACUUCAGUGAAUUUACAGUGGGUCAAUGUCUUGUCCUCAGAAACACAAACAGCAGAAUGGCUCCAUCUCUGUUGAAGACUUCCAUCAACUAGAACCACGAGGGCUGAUGGACAGACCACAAGGCCAGUUUGUUCCAGUUCAAUGAUUAAAAGAACCACAGAUGACCAGGCACGGUGGCUCACGCCUGUAAUCCCAGCACUUUGGGAGCCCGAGAGACGGAGUUUCACCAUGUUAGCCAGGAUGGUCUCGAUCUCCUGACCUCGUGAUCCGUCCGCCUUGGCCUCCCAAAGUGCUGGGAUUACAGACGUGAGCCACCGCGCCCGGCCAAAACCCUGCUUUUAAUAAAGUGUGAAAUGG